GACGAACGCUGGCGGCGUGCUUAACACAUGCAAGUCGAACGGAAAGGCCCUGCUUUUGUGGGGUGCUCGAGUGGCGAACGGGUGAGUAACACGUGAGUAACCUGCCCUUGACUUUGGGAUAACUUCAGGAAACUGGGGCUAAUACCGGAUAGGAGCUCCUGCUGCAUGGUGGGGGUUGGAAAGUUUCGGCGGUUGGGGAUGGACUCGCGGCUUAUCAGCUUGUUGGUGGGGUAGUGGCUUACAAAGGCUUUGACGGGUAGCCGGCCUGAGAGGGUGACCGGCCACAUUGGGACUGAGAUACGGCGCAGACUCCUACGGGCGGCAGCAGUGGGGAAUAUUGCACAAUGGGCGGAAGCCUGAUGCAGCAACGCCGCGUGCGGGAUGACGGCCUUCGGGUUGUAAACCGCUUUCGCCUGUGACGAAGCGUGAGUGACGGUAAUGGGUAAAGAAGCACCGGCUAACUACGUG
Molecule: ribosomal RNA, 468 nt
Filed under: uncultured bacterium
Lineage: Bacteria
Description: partial 16S ribosomal RNA
Rfam family: Bacterial small subunit ribosomal RNA
Source: RNAcentral